This 773-nucleotide ribosomal RNA is filed under the name uncultured Neocallimastigales. RNAcentral describes it as "partial large subunit ribosomal RNA". It matches the Rfam family "Eukaryotic large subunit ribosomal RNA", at positions 22 to 639 of the family's 3401-position model. The record is from RNAcentral. Lineage: Eukaryota; Fungi; Neocallimastigomycota; Neocallimastigomycetes; Neocallimastigales.
GUACACGCUGUGACUAGCAUAUCAAUAAGCGGAGGAAAAGAAACUAACAAGGAUUCCCCUAGUAACGGCGAGUGAAGCGGGAAGAGCUCAAAUUUGAAAUCUUAAAGGGUUUCCCUUUACGAAUUGUAGUUUAAAGAAGUGUUUUCUGUUGAGGUUUUGGUAAAAGUUCUUUGGAAUAGGACAUCAUAGAGGGUGAGAAUCCCGUAUUUGACCUUUACUUUCAACUUUGUGAUACACUUUCAAAGAGUCGGAUUGUUUGGGAAUGCAGUCCAAAAUGGGUGGUAAAUUUCAUCUAAAGCUAAAUAUUGGCGAGAGACCGAUAGCGAACAAGUACCGUGAGGGAAAGAUGAAAAGAACUUGAAAAGAGAGUUAAACAGUACGUGAAAUUGUCAAAAGGGAAGCGUUUGACACCAGUGUUGUUUUUCUGAAAAUCAAUUAAAGAACUGUUUAUGCUAAGCUGUUUAGACUUUAUCAGCUAUCUGUUUAGUUUUGAGCUUUUCUUUAAUGCACUUUUCAGUUAACAAGUCAACAUCAAUUUCUUUUGCUGUAAAAAAGCUUGAGGAAGGUGGCUUGAGAUUCGUCUUAAGUGUUUAUAGCCUCUUGCCUAUGCAGUCGGAGAGAUUGAGGUCUGCAGCGUAGAUCCUUCGGGGCUAAAUGCAUUUGUGCUAAGUUAUAGCAUUUUAUAGACAACUUGUUGACUAUGAUUUGUCUUGUAGCUUACUCGCUUAUGUUAUUUUACCUACGCUUAGGAUGUUGACGCGCGUGUGUGCGUG